RNAcentral lists this ribosomal RNA (513 nucleotides) under uncultured Bacteroidota bacterium. RNAcentral describes it as "bacterial SSU rRNA". It matches the Rfam family "Bacterial small subunit ribosomal RNA", at positions 366 to 880 of the family's 1533-position model. The record is from RNAcentral. Lineage: Bacteria; Pseudomonadati; Bacteroidota.
GGGACAUGGAGGAACUCUGAUCCAGCCAUGCCGCGUGCAGGAAGACGGCCCUAUGGGUUGUAAACUGCUUUUAUAUAGGAAGAAACCUUUUCACGUGUGAGAAGCUGACGGUACUAUAAGAAUAAGGACCGGCUAACUCCGUGCCAGCAGCCGCGGUAAUACGGAGGGUCCGAGCGUUAUCCGGAAUCAUUGGGUUUAAAGGGUCCGUAGGCGGGAAUCUAAGUCAGUGGUGAAAUCUUACAGCUCAACUGUAAAAUUGCCAUUGAUACUGGGUUUCUUGAAUUAGUGUGAAGUGAUUAGAAUGUGUAGUGUAGCGGUGAAAUGCAUAGAUAUUACACAGAAUACCAAUUGCGAAGGCAGAUCACUAACACUAUAUUGACGCUGAGGGACGAAAGCGUGGGGAGCGAACAGGAUUAGAUACCCUGGUAGUCCACGCCGUAAACGAUGGAUACUAGCUGUUCGGUCUUCGGAUUGAGUGGCUAAGCGAAAGUGAUAAGUAUCCCACCUGGGGAG